Molecule: ribosomal RNA, 164 nt
Filed under: Staphylococcus aureus
Lineage: Bacteria; Bacillati; Bacillota; Bacilli; Caryophanales; Staphylococcaceae
Description: partial 23S ribosomal RNA
Rfam family: Bacterial large subunit ribosomal RNA
Source: RNAcentral
AGAUUAAGUUAUUAAGGGCGCACGGUGGAUGCCUUGGCACUAGAAGCCGAUGAAGGACGUUACUAACGACGAUAUGCUUUGGGGAGCUGUAAGUAAGCUUUGAUCCAGAGAUUUCCGAAUGGGGAAACCCAGCAUGAGUUAUGUCAUGUUAUCGAUAUGUGAAU